This is a long non-coding RNA of Gossypium arboreum, 886 nucleotides long. RefSeq lists it as uncharacterized. The record is from RefSeq and is a predicted model, not a curated record. The transcript has 2 exons. NCBI's taxonomy places the organism in Eukaryota, Viridiplantae, Streptophyta, Magnoliopsida, Malvales, Malvaceae.
UGUACAGGGACUAAUUUGAUCAGAUCCCUAUACUAGAGGGAACUAUCAAAAAAUUCACCCAUUCUUUUUAUCUUCUUUCCUUUUCCCCCGUAAGCUACACCAUUGUCAAGUACGCCACGAAAAAUCACACGGCCAAACACACUAGUGAAAACAUUGUAAAAAAUCUCCGCCGUCCAAACAGUUUCAAUCACCCAUCACGUCUCCUUUUCGUGUUGUAAAAAAGUGGAGAAAGUCAUUAUUAUAGGAAUUGGAUAUGAUCAUACUCUGACACCCAAAAAACACUUUUUUUAAUUAUUAUUAAUAAUUUAAUAACACUCCUAUUAUUAGUAAUUUUUAAUUAUAUAAUCAUCAUCGAAACAAAGUCCAAUUUAUAAGCCAUUUUAGCCUCUUCUCCUUCACAGUGUUUCGGGAUUUCUCGUGCUCUGUUUUUUUAUUCUUUGUUGAGAAAGAAGGGAUCCUUGCUUUGCUUUGAUUAUUUUUCAAUGAUGAUGGAGCUUUUUGUAUUGGGGUGUACGGGAGUUGUGGUGUUCCUCCACGGUGCCAAUUUCUUCUUCCAUGUUCUUUCUCAACAUCUCGCUGUUCGAUCUCUCAGUUUCUUGGGAUUUGUUGGAUGGUAAUACCAAAAAGGGAAGAAAACAGAGAUGAUUCAUAUAUCUUUUUGCAAAUUGAGAUGUGGAUCAUGAUGCUUUUGUAAAUAUUUGAUUACAACUUAGAUUUUGGGCAAAUAUAAAAUAUAAUAUGAUAAUUAUGUAUUGGUAGAGCAAAAAUGGAAAGGCUGUUUGCCCUCAAUAUAGAGCAAUAUCAUCUUUCUAUACUGUAUUCUAUCCAUUUAUGUACCCCAUAUUUGAUUAAAUCUUAGAUUUUGAGGGUAUCAAAUAUAAUGAAA